Molecule: ribosomal RNA, 482 nt
Filed under: uncultured bacterium
Lineage: Bacteria
Description: partial 16S ribosomal RNA
Rfam family: Bacterial small subunit ribosomal RNA
Source: RNAcentral
AUUGAACGCUGGCGGCAUGCUUUACACAUGCAAGUCGAACGGUAACAGGCCGCCAGGUGCUGACGAGUGGCGGACGGGUGAGUAAUGCAUCGGAACGUGCCCAGUCGUGGGGGAUAACUACUCGAAAGAGUAGCUAAUACCGCAUACGAUCUAUGGAUGUAAGCGGGGGACCGUAAGGCCUCGCGCGAUUGGAGCGGCCGAUGUCCGAUUAGGUAGUUGGUGGGGUAAAGGCUCACCAAGCCAACGAUCUGUAGCUGGUCUGAGAGGACGACCAGCCACACUGGGACUGAGACACGGCCCAGACUCCCACGGGAGGCAGCAGUGGGGAAUUUUGGACAAUGGGCGCAAGCCUGAUCCAGCAAUGCCGCGUGGAGGAAGAAGGCCUUCGGGUUGUAAACUGCUUUUGUACGGAACGAAACGGCUCUGGUUAAUACCCGGGGCUAAUGACGGUACCGUAAGAAUAAGCACCGGCUAACUACGUG